Molecule: ribosomal RNA, 3763 nt
Organism: Caldimicrobium thiodismutans
Lineage: Bacteria; Pseudomonadati; Thermodesulfobacteriota; Thermodesulfobacteria; Thermodesulfobacteriales; Thermodesulfobacteriaceae
Rfam family: Bacterial large subunit ribosomal RNA
Source: Rfam
AGCCAAGCUACUAAGGGCUGAUGGUGGAUGCCUCGGGUGCGGGAGGCGAUGAAGGGCGUGGUAAGCUGCGAUAAGCUCCGGGGAGCCGCACACAGGCAUUGAUCCGGAGAUGCCCGAAUGGGGAAACCCGGCAGGGGUAAGCCCUGUCAUCUACAGGUUAAGAGCCUGUAGAAGCGACACCGGGGGAAGUGAAACAUCUCAGUACCCCGAGGAAAAGAAAUCAACCGAGAUUCUCCGAGUAGCGGCGAGCGAAAGGGGAGAAGCCUAAACCAGGCAGGUGUUAAAGCUCGUGGGCGUUGCCUGUCUGGGGUCGUGGGACUACACUGGAGGGGGCCACGAACCCUUCGGGGAGUUACAAAACUCUCUCUUUAGCCGAAGGCGCCUGGGAAGGCCUGCCAGAGAGGGUGAAAGCCCCGUAGGCAAAAAGGAGAGAGUCUCCCUGGGUGUAGAUCCCGAGUAGCACGGGACACGAGGAAUCCCGUGUGAAUCAGGGGGGACCACCCUCCAAGGCUAAAUACUACCCGCACACCGAUAGUGCACUAGUACCGUGAGGGAAAGGUGAAAAGAACCCCGGGAGGGGAGUGAAAUAGAACCUGAAACCAUCAGCCUACAAGCGGUCGGAGGGGAGUGGCAACACUCCCUGACGGCGUGCCUUUUGCAUAAUGAGCCCGGGAGUUGCCGUCAGUGGCGAGGUUAAGCCGUUGAGGCGUAGCCGUAGCGAAAGCGAGUCCGAAAAGGGCGUUUAGUCGCUGGUGGCAGACCCGAAUCGGGACGAUCUACCCAUGGCCAGGGUGAAGGUGGGUUAACCCCCACUGGAGGCCCGAACCGAUGGAGGGUGAAAACUCCUCGGAUGAGCUGUGGGUCGGAGUGAAAAGCUAAUCGAGUCCCGUGAUAGCUGGUUCUCCCCGAAAUGCAUUGAGGUGCAGCCUCGAGUGGUCGCUGCCGGGGGUAGAGCACUGUUUGGGCUAGGGGGCUUACCGGCCUACCAAACCCAGGCAAACUCCGAAUACCGGUAAGCGCAGCUCGGGAGUGAGUCUCAGGGCGAUAACGUCCUGGGACGAGAGGGCAAGAACCCAGACCGCCAGCUAAGGCCCCUAAGUCCUGGCUAAGUGGUAAAGGAGGUGCUCCUGCUUAGACACCCAGGAUGUUGGCUUAGAAGCAGCCAUCAUUUAAAGAGUGCGUAACAGCUCACUGGGCGAGCGGGGGUGCGCCGAAAAUUACUCGGGGCUUAAGCCAGGCGCCGAAGCUGCGGACUUGAAGCGUUUAGGCUUCAAGUGGUAGGGGAGCACUCCGGUUGCCGAUGAAGGUAAGCUGACAAGGCUUGCUGGAGGUUCCGGAGGAGAGAAUCCGGGCACGAGUACGCGAUAAGGAGAGUGAGAAUCUCUCCCGCCGUAAGCCCAAGGUUUCCUGGGGAAGGGUCGUCCGCCCAGGGUUAGCCGGCCCCUAACCCGAGGCCGAGAGGCGUAGGGGAUGGGAAGUGGGGUUAAUAUUCCCCCGCCACCUGGAUGGAGGUCAAGGGGUGACGCAGGAGGGAAGGGUUCCGGGGCUGUAUGGUUGGCCCUCCAAACCUUUAGCCCGUUGAUGGGUAGAGGAAAAUCCCUACCCGGAGGGUGAGGGGGAGUAAGCAACUGAGAGCUUUGCUCUCGGGAAGGAGCUCGGACCACACUGCCAAGAAAUAGCCUCGUGGCUGUUGAAGUCCAGGUGACCGUACCGCAAACCGACACAGGUGGGCGGGCAGAAAUCUGCCAAGGCGCGUGGGGUAACCCUGGCUAAGGAACUCGGCAAAUUAACCCCGUAACUUCGGGAGAAGGGGUGCCCGCGUGUAAGUGUAGGUCCUCGCGACUGAAGCUGAGGCGGGUCGCAGGUAAUCGGCGGUGGCGACUGUUUACCAAAAACACAGGGCUCUGCUAACUCGUAAGAGGACGUAUAGGGCCUGACGCCUGCCCGGUGCUGGAAGGUGAAGGGGUGGGGUUAGCAAGUUUUCUUGCGACGCUCUGCCCUUAAGCCCCAGUAAACGGCGGCCGUAACUAUAACGGUCCUAAGGUAGCGAAAUUCCUUGUCGGGUAAGUGAGGACUUGCCCAUGUCCGGCUCAUAUCGGGGGAGCCCUCCUACCUGAGGUUUAUAUGCUUCAGGUGUGGGGUAAUCCCGAGGGAAGCUUGUCUCUCGUGAGGGAGGCAAAGCCCCGUAACGACUGACCCGAAAGGGGAGGCACGCCUCUAUUAUUUAAAAUUUUGAGGUGUGCAAAACGCCGGCCACCACCCGUAACUCCAAACUGGGGUUACGCAGAAAGGCCUAUGGAGGCCCUCUUAUGUUAAAUCCUUGGUAUGUAACAGGACUUUGUGAGGGAGAAGCCUCUUUUAGUGUAAGUUUUAAUUUAAGAAAUAAGUUAAAUGUUGGUAUAGAGACCAAGCCUUCCUUUUCCAUAACCUUAAAUCGAAGAGAUUUAGAGCUUAUAAAAGAAAUUUAUAAGUUUUUUGGUUGUGGAGGGAUAAGGUAUUCAAGGCCUGAUAGAUGUUAUAAAUAUGAGGUUAGGUCUGUUAAUGACCUUGUAGAAAAAAUUAUUCCGCAUUUUGAGGAGUAUCCUUUACAAGGAGCUAAAAAAAGGGAUUUUGAGCUAUUUAAAAAAAUAUGUCUUAUGGUAAGAGCGAAUUUACAUCUUUCUUUUAAGUAUUUACCUGAAAUUAUUGAUUUUGCUUAUCAAAUGAAUGAGAGUGGUAGAAGAAGGUAUACUAAGGAGGAUCUCCUAAGGGUUCUUGGUGGUGUGAAGGGAUAGUCUACCCCUUGCCGAAAGGCUUGAGAGGGUGAAGUUCCGACCUGCAUGAAUGGCGUAACGACUGCCGCGCUGUCUCAGCCAGGGGCCCAGCGAAACUGUAGUCUCGGCGAAGAUGCCGAGUACCCGCGGUGGGACGGAAAGACCCCGUGCAGCUUUACUGCAGCUUGGCAUUGAAUCUUGGGGUAGGAUGUGCAGGAUAGGUGGGAGGCUAUGAAGCGGGGGCGCCAGCUCCCGUGGAGCCACCGGUGAGAUACCACCCUUCCUGCCUCAGGGUUCUAACCUGCGGGAGUAAGCCUCCCGAGGGACAGUGCCUGGUGGGCAGUUUGACUGGGGCGGUCGCCUCCUAAAGGGUAACGGAGGCGCCCAAAGGUCCCCUCAGGUGGUAUGGAAAUCCACCGUUGAGUGUAAGGGCAUAAGGGGGCUUGACUGCGAGGCUGACAAGCCGAGCAGGGGGGAAACCCGGGCCUAGUGACCCGGUGGUCCUGUGUGGAAGGGCCAUCGAUCAUCGGAUAAAAGUUACGCCGGGGAUAACAGGCUGAUUGCUCCCAAGAGUUCAUAUCGACGGAGCAGUUUGGCACCUCGAUGUCGGCUCAUCCCAUCCUGGGGCUGAAGAAGGUCCCAAGGGUCGGGCUGUUCGCCCGUUAAAGGGGUACGUGAGCUGGGUUCAGAACGUCGUGAGACAGUUCGGUCCCUAUCCACCGCGGGCGCAGGAGGCUUGAGGGGAGCCGCCCCUAGUACGAGAGGACCGGGGUGGACGCACCUCUGGUGGCCCGGUUGUUCCACCAGGAGCAGAGCCGGGUAGUCAUGUGCGGAAGGGAUAACCGCUGAAAGCAUCUAAGCGGGAAGCCCACCCCAAGAUAAGGCCUCCCGAGGGUGGGGCAACUCACCCCCUAAAGGGCCCAGGGAGAACACCUGGUUGAUAGGCCGGAGGUGGAAGCCCAGUAAUGGGUGGAGCUUACCGGUACUAAUCGCCCGUGCGGCUUGGCUGC